AUACCCUGGUUUCUCUUUGGAUAGAGUAAAUCUUUCGCCUUUUACUAAAGAUUUCUAUGAAGAGAAACAACUCUGAGUUUUUGGUCAAUUUUUUGAGGCCUUGCUUUGGCAAGGCU
RNAcentral lists this small nuclear RNA (116 nucleotides) under Propithecus coquereli (Coquerel's sifaka). RNAcentral describes it as "U5 spliceosomal RNA (ENSPCOG00000010565.1)". It matches the Rfam family "U5 spliceosomal RNA". From Rfam's summary of the family: U5 RNA is a component of both types of known spliceosome. The precise function of this molecule is unknown, though it is known that the 5' loop is required for splice site selection and p220 binding, and that both the 3' stem-loop and the Sm site are important for Sm protein binding and cap methylation. The record is from Rfam by way of RNAcentral. Lineage: Eukaryota; Metazoa; Chordata; Mammalia; Primates; Indriidae.